RNAcentral lists this microRNA precursor (102 nucleotides) under Haemonchus contortus (barber pole worm). RNAcentral describes it as "microRNA hco-mir-5925 precursor". Lineage: Eukaryota; Metazoa; Nematoda; Chromadorea; Rhabditida; Trichostrongylidae. The record is from miRBase by way of RNAcentral.
AGCAUAGUCCGUACAAAAAAUCUUCUUCCCGGGACCUCCAUAUCAAAUUUUGAUCUGAUAUGGAGUUCCUGGGGGGAUGAUUUUUUUGGGAAGUCCCAAGUU